This 396-nucleotide ribosomal RNA is filed under the name Triticum aestivum (bread wheat). RNAcentral describes it as "partial small subunit ribosomal RNA". The record is from RNAcentral. Lineage: Eukaryota; Viridiplantae; Streptophyta; Magnoliopsida; Poales; Poaceae.
AUGGACGCCGACGCUACCGAGGUCGGUGUCACAGAGGUCGACGCCACGGUGGCCACCCACUCAUCACUGCGCGAUGAAGGCGACGCGUCUCCGGAGCACAUCUUCACCAAGCCUGUGCUAUGGACGUUGACGCCACGGAGGUCGAUGCCCCGGAGGUCAACGCCACGUAGGCCGCCCCUGCUCAUCACCGCUAGACGGUGGACGCCACGGAGAUCGCCAUCAUCACUCGCGACCGCUUUAUCACGAUGGUGCCGCGGAGGACGACGAUAUGGAGCACGCCACGAAGAACUUGUCGUCAAUGUCGUCAAGCCGCCCCCAUGGAAGCCGACGACACAGAGAGAGUUCGCCGAGACGCCGCCCACCGCCGACACCGCCAAACCGGUGCCAUGGAGGUGA